Molecule: ribosomal RNA, 253 nt
Filed under: uncultured bacterium
Lineage: Bacteria
Description: partial 16S ribosomal RNA
Rfam family: Bacterial small subunit ribosomal RNA
Source: RNAcentral
UACGUAGGGGGCAAGCGUUAUCCGGAUUUACUGGGUGUAAAGGGAGCGUAGACGGCGAUGCAAGCCAGAUGUGAAAGCCCGGGGCUCAACCCCGGGACUGCAUUUGGAACUGUGUGGCUGGAGUGUCGGAGAGGCAGGCGGAAUUCCUAGUGUAGCGGUGAAAUGCGUAGAUAUUAGGAGGAACACCAGUGGCGAAGGCGGCCUGCUGGACGAUGACUGACGUUGAGGCUCGAAAGUGUGGGGAGCAAACAGG